GGGAUUAUGGCUUAGUGGUAGAGUGCUUGCCUAAUAUGUGUGAGGCCCCAAGUUCGAUUCUUUGGUACCA
This 70-nucleotide transfer RNA is filed under the name Dipodomys ordii (Ord's kangaroo rat). It matches the Rfam family "tRNA". Rfam says of the family: Transfer RNA (tRNA) molecules are approximately 80 nucleotides in length. Their secondary structure includes four short double-helical elements and three loops (D, anti-codon, and T loops). The record is from Rfam by way of RNAcentral. Lineage: Eukaryota; Metazoa; Chordata; Mammalia; Rodentia; Heteromyidae.